UAAUAAUAUACAUAGAUUAUUAGAUGAUUCAUUUAAAAGAAUAUAUUUUUCUUUAAUAUAUUAUUUAGUUCAUUAUUUUGACUUAAUAAACUACAAAUUUUAUGCUGCACAAAUUUAUAAAGUGUCUUGUUAUAAUCUAAGAAAAAUAGCAUAUUUAUGCUAAUCAUAAUUUAAAAUUGAUUUUAUAAUUAUUUAUAGAGAUGUUCUAUCACUUUAAUAUAUGGGUUGAAAAUUUAAUAAUGACCAUAAUAAUGCUAAAGGGGAACAUGUGUGUGCCCUUCCACAUGCUGCAUGCUCAUAUUAACAUCACACAAUCUACGUAGAGCAGAAGGUCAGUGGAGACAUAUUUUUUAAGUUGGAGAGCAUGCUUGACUUAAAAUUGAAACUGCAAGGAACCAUGCCACAAAGGAGUGCUAUCAGAGAUUUGUAGAGGCCUAUGUUGCUGAUUCGUUACUGUACAGUAUUAUAAAAAAGUGAGUAAAUGCAUUCAAGUGAGACAUGAGCAACAAGCUUAGACCUGGGCAACUUGGCAUUUUGGAUGCACAAGUAUUCAAUGGACAAAUUGUAAAUGCAGCAUACUUUGUACAUGUUUUGCAAUACAAUCUGUAUGAAAUCCUGUGGAGGAAACAGUGUCACUUUCUGACUACUCCAGCCAUUAUCCUCCAUGACAAAAUCUAUUGUCUUGUUGCUGAUAUUGUUUGCAACCUGCUCAUAAGAUGGGGUUGUGAAGUACUAUUCCAACUACCAUAUUCUCCAGAUCUUUUCCUUUGUGAUUUGAUUUCCUAACUUCAAGGAACCCCUAUGAGGCAUUCAAUUCCACAUAGUUCGACAUUAUAUGUGCAAUCCACCACUCCAUCUGUGACAUCAACAUAUUUGGGACUGCUGAUAGCAUUAUGAAACUAUCACAAUGAUGG
This 914-nucleotide long non-coding RNA is filed under the name Androctonus crassicauda. Lineage: Eukaryota; Metazoa; Arthropoda; Arachnida; Scorpiones; Buthidae. The record is from RNAcentral.